This 339-nucleotide ribosomal RNA is filed under the name Triticum aestivum (bread wheat). Its description in RNAcentral is "partial small subunit ribosomal RNA". The record is from RNAcentral. Lineage: Eukaryota; Viridiplantae; Streptophyta; Magnoliopsida; Poales; Poaceae.
AUGGCAUUUGUGGAGGGUGAGAACUUUCUCAGCUGGGUUUGGUUCUUCCGUCAAGUGAAAAUUGCCAUCGUGAAGGACCGACCAAAUGUGUGUGUCAUUCAUGACAGACAUGCUGGUAUAUUGAAGGCCGUGAAGACACUUCGGAAUCCAGCAGAUGACGAACCAACACCUUGGAGGGACUUGCAGAGCCGGUGGUGCAUGCGCCAUCUUGGGGCUAAUUUUUUCUCACAGUUCAAGAACAAGCGGUUGAUGAACUUGUUCAAAAAAUUAUGCAAGCAGAGCCAGCAGCGGAAAUACGAAUUUAUUUGGUCAAAACUAGAUGAGUUUACUAAGAAGUAG